ACCUGGCUGGCUCAGUUGGAAGAGUGCGCAACUCUUAAUCUCAGGGUCAUGAGUUCGAGCCCCAUGCUGGGUG
Molecule: transfer RNA, 73 nt
Filed under: Felis catus (domestic cat)
Lineage: Eukaryota; Metazoa; Chordata; Mammalia; Carnivora; Felidae
Rfam family: tRNA
About the family: Transfer RNA (tRNA) molecules are approximately 80 nucleotides in length. Their secondary structure includes four short double-helical elements and three loops (D, anti-codon, and T loops).
Source: Rfam by way of RNAcentral